AGUGAACGCUGGCGGUAGGCCUAACACAUGCAAGUCGAACGGCAGCACAGUAAGAGCUUGCUCUUACGGGUGGCGAGUGGCGGACGGGUGAGGAAUACAUCGGAAUCUACUUUUUCGUGGGGGAUAACGUAGGGAAACUUACGCUAAUACCGCAUACGACCUACGGGUGAAAGCAGGGGAUCUUCGGACCUUGCGCGAUUGAAUGAGCCGAUGUCGGAUUAGCUAGUUGGCGGGGUAAAGGCCCACCAAGGCGACGAUCCGUAGCUGGUCUGAGAGGAUGAUCAGCCACACUGGAACUGAGACACGGUCCAGACUCCUACGGGAGGCAGCAGUGGGGAAUAUUGGACGAUGGGCGCAAGCCUGAUCCAGCCAUACCGCGUGGGUGAAGAAGGCCUUCGGGUUGGAAAGCCCUUUUGUUGGGAAAGAAAAGCAGCAGGUUAAUACCCCGCUGUUCUGACGGUACCCAAAGAAUAAGCACCGGCUAACUUCGUG
Molecule: ribosomal RNA, 492 nt
Filed under: uncultured bacterium
Lineage: Bacteria
Description: partial 16S ribosomal RNA
Rfam family: Bacterial small subunit ribosomal RNA
Source: RNAcentral